This is a long non-coding RNA of Eriocheir sinensis (Chinese mitten crab), 729 nucleotides long. RefSeq lists it as uncharacterized. Lineage: Eukaryota; Metazoa; Arthropoda; Malacostraca; Decapoda; Varunidae. The record is from RefSeq and is a predicted model, not a curated record. The transcript is spliced from 3 exons.
UAAGCGUUGCCCCAAUCCGGAUGCGUCCCUUCCGUUGGUGGUGUGUGCCCGGGCUGACUGUCGCGGGCGGACGGGACAGAUCCGGAUUAUGACGACAGGCUGAGUGAGGCGGCACAGAGCGGUGAGGAGGGAAUGAGUGAGUGAGGGAUGGGAAGGAUGGGAGUUGAGCAAGAGAGAGUAAUAACUGGCGUCCGGAGUUCUGUGGUGUGCUGUGUUGAGUGACGGGUGUUGAAAGACAAAGGAAAGGAUAAUAUAAACGUUUCCAGUGAUUGUGUUGAGGGAUGGGUGUUGAAAGACAAAAGAAAGGGUGAUAGAAACGUUUCCAUUGAUCGUGCUGAGGGACGGAUGUUGAGAAAGAAAAACAAAAGGAUAAUAUAAACGUUUCCAGUGAUUGAGUUGAAGGACGGGUGUUGAGAAAGACAAAAGAAAGGAUGAUAUAAACGUUUCCAGUGAUUGUGCUGAGGGACGGAUGUUGAGAAAGACAAACAAAAGGAUAAUAUAAACGUUUCCAGUGAUUGUGUUGAAGGACGGGUGUUGAGAAAGGUGAAAGAAAGGAUAAUAUAAACGUUUCCAGUGAUUGUGUUGAGGGACGGGUGUUGAGAAAGACAAAAGAAAGGAUGAUAUAAACGUUUCCAGUGAUUGUGUUGAGGGACGGGUGUUGAGAAAGACAAAAGAAAGGAUGAUAUAAACGUUUCCAGUGAUUGUGUUGAGGGACGGAUGUUGAGAAAG